UGGCUCAGAACGAACGCUGGCGGCAGGCCUAACACAUGCAAGUCGAGCGCACCUUCGGGUGAGCGGCGGACGGGUUAGUAACGCGUGGGAACAUACCCUUUUCUACGGAAUAGCCUCGGGAAACUGAGAGUAAUACCGUAUAAGCCCUUCGGGGGAAAGAUUUAUCGGGAAAGGAUUGGCCCGCGUUAGAUUAGAUAGUUGGUGGGGUAAUGGCCUACCAAGUCUACGAUCUAUAGCUGGUUUUAGAGGAUGAUCAGCAACACUGGGACUGAGACACGGCCCAGACUCCUACGGGAGGCAGCAGUGGGGAAUCUUAGACAAUGGGCGCAAGCCUGAUCUAGCCAUGCCGCGUGUGUGAUGAAAGUCUUAGGAUCGUAAAGCACUUUCGCCAGGGAUGAUAAUGAC
Molecule: ribosomal RNA, 405 nt
Filed under: Sulfitobacter sp. CC87
Lineage: Bacteria; Pseudomonadati; Pseudomonadota; Alphaproteobacteria; Rhodobacterales; Roseobacteraceae
Description: bacterial SSU rRNA
Rfam family: Bacterial small subunit ribosomal RNA
Source: RNAcentral